CCUACGGGGGACAGCAGUGAGGAAUAUUGGUCAAUGGCCGGAAGGCUGAACCAGCCAAGUCGCGUGAAGGAAGAAGGAUCUAUGGGUUGUAAACUUCUUUUAUAGGGGAAUAAAGGUAUCCACGUGUGGAGAUUUGCAUGUACCCUAUGAAUAAGCAUCGGCUAACUCCGGGCCAGCAGCCGCGGUAAUACGGAGGAUGCGCGCGUUAUCCGGAUUUAUUGGGUUUAAAGGGUGCGGAGGUUGUUUUUUAAGUCCGCGGUGAAAGUUUGUGGCUCCACCAUAAAAUUGCCGUUGAAACUGGAAGCCUUGAGUGUGUUUGAGGUAGGCGGACUGCGUGGUGUAGCGGUGAAAUGCAUAGAUAUCACGCAGAACUCCGAUUGCGAAGGCAGCUUACUAGGCCAUAACUGACACUGACGCACGAAAGCGUGGGGAUCAAACAGGAUUAGAUACCCUGGUAGUC
Molecule: ribosomal RNA, 460 nt
Filed under: uncultured bacterium
Lineage: Bacteria
Description: partial 16S ribosomal RNA
Rfam family: Bacterial small subunit ribosomal RNA
Source: RNAcentral